UAGUCCACGCCGUAAACGAUGGAUACUAGCUGUCCGGGUCCUUGAGAUCUGGGCGGCCAAGCGAAAGUGAUAAGUAUCCCACCUGGGGAGUACGUUCGCAAGAAUGAAACUCAAAGGAAUUGACGGGGGCCCGCACAAGCGGUGGAGCAUGUGGUUUAAUUCGAUGAUACGCGAGGAACCUUACCAGGGCUUAAAUGCAUAUUGACAGGGGUAGAGAUACCUUUUCCUUCGGGCAAUUUGCAAGGUGCUGCAUGGUUGUCGUCAGCUCGUGCCGUGAGGUGUCAGGUUAAGUCCUAUAACGAGCGCAACCCCUACCGUUAGUUGCCAGCGAGUCAUGUCGGGGACUCUAACGGGACUGCCGGUGCAAACCGUGAGGAAGGUGGGAAUGACGUCAAAUCAUCACGGCCCUUACGUCCUGGGGCCACACACGUGCUACAAUGGCCGGUACAGGAGAGCAGCCAUGUCGCAAGGGCAGAGCGGAAUCUACAAAACCGGGUCACAGUUCGGGAUCGGGGGUCU
This 519-nucleotide ribosomal RNA is filed under the name uncultured bacterium. Its description in RNAcentral is "bacterial SSU rRNA". It matches the Rfam family "Bacterial small subunit ribosomal RNA", at positions 791 to 1307 of the family's 1533-position model. The record is from RNAcentral.